Molecule: ribosomal RNA, 109 nt
Filed under: Jaculus jaculus (lesser Egyptian jerboa)
Lineage: Eukaryota; Metazoa; Chordata; Mammalia; Rodentia; Dipodidae
Source: RNAcentral
AAACACACACACACCACCCUGAACGUGUCUAGUCUCAUCUGGUCUCAGACGCUAAGCAGGGUUGGGUCAGUACUUGAAUGGGAGACUGCUUGGGUAUAUUUGGUGCUGU